This 71-nucleotide transfer RNA is filed under the name Marmota monax (woodchuck). RNAcentral describes it as "tRNA.Gly". The record is from RNAcentral. Lineage: Eukaryota; Metazoa; Chordata; Mammalia; Rodentia; Sciuridae.
GGGGUUGGGGCUUAGCGGUAGAGCGUUCACCUCCCAUGUGGGAGGCCCUGGGUUGGAUCCUCAGCACCACA